RNAcentral lists this long non-coding RNA (2180 nucleotides) under Sorghum bicolor (sorghum). RNAcentral describes it as "long non-coding RNA (SBIC_LNC018831)". The record is from RNAcentral. Lineage: Eukaryota; Viridiplantae; Streptophyta; Magnoliopsida; Poales; Poaceae.
CAAAAAAUUCAACAGGCCACGUCUUUCACUUGUUUAAGCUUAAAUUUCCUGUGGUUAUUUCUUGAGUGCUCCUUAGUAAAAGAAAAAUAUAAAAAAAAAUAAAAAGAAUUGCAGGGUUUCGAAUUGUGUUGUUCGCAAGCUGGAUUGAUAUGUCUCUCGUUUCCACCAAAUCGAUAGUUACCAGAAAGUUUCGGAAGAUCGGGCCACACUUGUUCUCCUGAAGUGGUAUUCGAAGCUUCAGACAUAUCGUUAGGUUCACAUCUACCCUUAGUUUCAAGUGUCCUUGUGUUCGUCGCAUAAGUCUAGUGCCAUAUUGUUUUCAUGUCCUACAACCCAUCCGCGCCAUAGCCUUUGCAUAUUUCAGUUUCAGAGUCCGUAGUGUUGAGUUUGUGUCCUGGUCAAGGUCUUGUUACUGGUUAGGUCUUGUUACAGUCCAGUUUGUCUAUUUUUUCCCACUAUUUCCAUCUAUUUCUAGCCACCAUCGCAAAUUUUUCCCACUUCCGGACUGUUUUGCCCUCUAAUUCGGAGUCCGUUCGUAAAACAGCCAUAACUUUCGCAUACGAACUCCAAUUUUGACGUUCCAUAUAUCAAAAUCGAUCAGAAUAAUUUUUUGGAUCUGUCUAUCCUCCCAACGGCGGGUUCGACAAUUAUAGGAUCCCCAAAUUCGCCUCUGAAGUUUGAGUUUUCACCUCCUAAAGUUUUUUCACAUAUUUCACACAAUCUUCAUAAUAUUCCACGGGCCAUGUAAUACACUUGUAUACUCUCAAAUCCCCUGUGGAUACUUCUAGAGUUCUCCUAAGUAAGACAAAUAUAUCAAACAAAAGAAUUGUAGGGUUUCGAAUUGUGUUGUUCGCAAACUGGAUUGAUAUGUCUCUCGUUUCCACCAAAUCGAUAGUUACCAGAAACUUUCGGAAGAUCGGGCCACACUUGUUCUUCUCAAGUGGUAAUCAAUGCUUCAGACAUGCCGUUAGGUUCACAUCUACCCUUAGUUUCAAGUGUCCUUGUGUUCGUCGCAUAAGUCUAGUGCCAUAUUGUUUUCAUGUCCUACAACCCAUCCGCGCCAUAGCCUUUGUAUAUUUCAGUUUCAGAGUCCGUAGUGUUGAGUUUGUGUCCUGGUCGAGGUCUUGUUACUGGUUAGGUCUUGUUACAGUCGAGUUUGUCUGUUUUUUCCCACUAUAUCCAUCAAUUUCUAGCCACCAUCGCAAAUUUUUCCCACUUCCGGACCGUUUUGUCCUCUAAUUCGGAGUCGGUUCGUAAAACAGCCAUAACUUUCGCAUACGAACUCCAAUUUUGACGUUCCAUAUAUCAAAAUCGAUUAGAAAAUUUUUUUGGAUCUGUCUAUCCCGCCAACGGCGGGUUCGACAAUUUUAGAAUCCCCAAAUUCGCCUCUGAAGUUUGAGUUUUCACCUCCUAAAUUUUUUUCAUAUUUUUCACAAUCUUCAAAAAAUUCAACAGGCCACGUCUUUCACUUGUUUAAGCUCAAAUUUCCUGUGGUUACUUCUAGAGUGCUCCUUAGUAAAAGAAAAAUAUCCAUAUCAAUAAAAAGAAUUGCAGGGUUUCGAAUUGUGUUGUUCGCAAGCUGGAUUGAUAUGUCUCUCGUUUCCACCAAAUCGAUAGUUACUAGAAAGUUUCGGAAGAUCGGGCCACACUUGUUCUCCUCAAGUGGUAAUCAAUGCUUUAGACAUGCCGUUAGGUUCACAUCUACCCUUAGUUUCAAGUGUCCUUGUGUUCGUCGCAUAAGUCUAGUGCCAUAUUGUUUUCAUGUCCUACAACCCAUCCGCGCCAUAGCCUUUGCAUAUUUCAGUUUCAGAGUCCGUAAUGUUGAGUUUGUGUCCUGGUCGAGGUCUUGUUACUGGUUAGGUCUUGUUACAGUCCAGUUUGUCUGUUUUUUCCCACUAUUUUCAUCAAUUUCUAGCCACCAUCGCAAAUUUUUCCCACUUCCAGACCGUUUUGUCCUCUAAUUCGGAGUCCGUUCGUAAAACAGCCAUAACUUUCGCAUACGAACUCCAAUUUUGACGUUCCAUAUAUCAAAAUCGAUUAGAAAAUUUUUUUGGAUCUGUCUAUCCCGCCAACGGCGGGUUCGACAAUUUUAGAAUCCCCAAAUUCGCCUCUGAAGUUUGAGUUUUCACCUCCUAAAUUUUUUUCAUAUUUUUCACAAUCUUCAAAAAAUUCAACAGGCC